UACGGAGGGUGCGAGCGUUAAUCGGAAUUACUGGGCGUAAAGCGCACGUAGGUGGUUCGUUAAGUCGGAUGUGAAAUCCCUGGGCUCAACCUGGGAGCUGCAUUCGAUACUGGCGGACUCGAGUACGAGAGAGGAGAGCGGAAUUCCAGGUGUAGCGGUGAAAUGCGUAGAUAUCUGGAGGAACACCGGUGGCGAAAGCGGCUCUCUGGCACAAAACUGACGCUGAGGUGCGAAAGCGUGGGGAGCAAACAGGAUUAGAUACCCGAGUAGU
Molecule: ribosomal RNA, 271 nt
Filed under: uncultured bacterium
Lineage: Bacteria
Description: partial 16S ribosomal RNA
Rfam family: Bacterial small subunit ribosomal RNA
Source: RNAcentral